CUUAGCUGGGAACACUCAGAAACCCCUGGACAGGACAGUACCUGGGAGGGGACAAGCCUGACCCGUCCCUAGGAGCUCCUGGCUGGCAGCGGUGAGCCCAGGAGAGACUGGGAGGUUCCUGACCGCGGCCUGCCGGCCUGUGGAGAGACCGAGGAGUCUGGCGCUUUGGGAACGCCCUGGGAGGGGCCGGCGGGUGCCACACGCAGAAUGGAAGACGAGACUGUGGAGGAGAGAUGUGAGCUAUUCUCAGAUGAGGCAGCUCCACACAGUGCUGCCCAGGAGCCCCCGGGACCCCAUCGCCCCAUCCCAAUGCAGAGAAACUCCAUCUUCAAGCGCGCCCUGAGACGCCGAAGCCAAACCCAGAGCCGAGGCACCCCCGGCCAGAACACCAGCAACCCUGAGGCAGAUUCCACGGAAAACGGAAAGUCUAUAAAUACACCCCAGAGCAGAGCCCCUUCUUGGAGACCAUCAGCACACACAGUCCGGGGAGCCCAGAA
Molecule: long non-coding RNA, 497 nt
Organism: Echinops telfairi (small Madagascar hedgehog)
Lineage: Eukaryota; Metazoa; Chordata; Mammalia; Afrosoricida; Tenrecidae
Exons: 3
Source: RefSeq, a predicted model, not a curated record